RNAcentral lists this ribosomal RNA (2786 nucleotides) under Escherichia coli. RNAcentral describes it as "bacterial LSU rRNA". It matches the Rfam family "Bacterial large subunit ribosomal RNA". The record is from RNAcentral. Lineage: Bacteria; Pseudomonadati; Pseudomonadota; Gammaproteobacteria; Enterobacterales; Enterobacteriaceae.
AGCGUACACGGUGGAUGCCCUGGCAGUCAGAGGCGAUGAAGGACGUGCUAAUCUGCGAUAAGCGUCGGUAAGGUGAUAUGAACCGUUAUAACCGGCGAUUUCCGAAUGGGGAAACCCAGUGUGUUUCGACACACUAUCAUUAACUGAAUCCAUAGGUUAAUGAGGCGAACCGGGGGAACUGAAACAUCUAAGUACCCCGAGGAAAAGAAAUCAACCGAGAUUCCCCCAGUAGCGGCGAGCGAACGGGGAGGAGCCCAGAGCCUGAAUCAGUGUGUGUGUUAGUGGAAGCGUCUGGAAAGGCGCGCGAUACAGGGUGACAGCCCCGUACACAAAAAUGCACAUGCUGUGAGCUCGAUGAGUAGGGCGGGACACGUGGUAUCCUGUCUGAAUAUGGGGGGACCAUCCUCCAAGGCUAAAUACUCCUGACUGACCGAUAGUGAACCAGUACCGUGAGGGAAAGGCGAAAAGAACCCCGGCGAGGGGAGUGAAAAAGAACCUGAAACCGUGUACGUACAAGCAGUGGGAGCACGCUUAGGCGUGUGACUGCGUACCUUUUGUAUAAUGGGUCAGCGACUUAUAUUCUGUAGCAAGGUUAACCGAAUAGGGGAGCCGAAGGGAAACCGAGUCUUAACUGGGCGUUAAGUUGCAGGGUAUAGACCCGAAACCCGGUGAUCUAGCCAUGGGCAGGUUGAAGGUUGGGUAACACUAACUGGAGGACCGAACCGACUAAUGUUGAAAAAUUAGCGGAUGACUUGUGGCUGGGGGUGAAAGGCCAAUCAAACCGGGAGAUAGCUGGUUCUCCCCGAAAGCUAUUUAGGUAGCGCCUCGUGAAUUCAUCUCCGGGGGUAGAGCACUGUUUCGGCAAGGGGGUCAUCCCGACUUACCAACCCGAUGCAAACUGCGAAUACCGGAGAAUGUUAUCACGGGAGACACACGGCGGGUGCUAACGUCCGUCGUGAAGAGGGAAACAACCCAGACCGCCAGCUAAGGUCCCAAAGUCAUGGUUAAGUGGGAAACGAUGUGGGAAGGCCCAGACAGCCAGGAUGUUGGCUUAGAAGCAGCCAUCAUUUAAAGAAAGCGUAAUAGCUCACUGGUCGAGUCGGCCUGCGCGGAAGAUGUAACGGGGCUAAACCAUGCACCGAAGCUGCGGCAGCGACACUGUGUGUUGUUGGGUAGGGGAGCGUUCUGUAAGCCUGUGAAGGUGUACUGUGAGGUAUGCUGGAGGUAUCAGAAGUGCGAAUGCUGACAUAAGUAACGAUAAAGCGGGUGAAAAGCCCGCUCGCCGGAAGACCAAGGGUUCCUGUCCAACGUUAAUCGGGGCAGGGUGAGUCGACCCCUAAGGCGAGGCCGAAAGGCGUAGUCGAUGGGAAACAGGUUAAUAUUCCUGUACUUGGUGUUACUGCGAAGGGGGGACGGAGAAGGCUAUGUUGGCCGGGCGACGGUUGUCCCGGUUUAAGCGUGUAGGCUGGUUUUCCAGGCAAAUCCGGAAAAUCAAGGCUGAGGCGUGAUGACGAGGCACUACGGUGCUGAAGCAACAAAUGCCCUGCUUCCAGGAAAAGCCUCUAAGCAUCAGGUAACAUCAAAUCGUACCCCAAACCGACACAGGUGGUCAGGUAGAGAAUACCAAGGCGCUUGAGAGAACUCGGGUGAAGGAACUAGGCAAAAUGGUGCCGUAACUUCGGGAGAAGGCACGCUGAUAUGUAGGUGAAGCGACUUGCUCGUGGAGCUGAAAUCAGUCGAAGAUACCAGCUGGCUGCAACUGUUUAUUAAAAACACAGCACUGUGCAAACACGAAAGUGGACGUAUACGGUGUGACGCCUGCCCGGUGCCGGAAGGUUAAUUGAUGGGGUUAGCGCAAGCGAAGCUCUUGAUCGAAGCCCCGGUAAACGGCGGCCGUAACUAUAACGGUCCUAAGGUAGCGAAAUUCCUUGUCGGGUAAGUUCCGACCUGCACGAAUGGCGUAAUGAUGGCCAGGCUGUCUCCACCCGAGACUCAGUGAAAUUGAACUCGCUGUGAAGAUGCAGUGUACCCGCGGCAAGACGGAAAGACCCCGUGAACCUUUACUAUAGCUUGACACUGAACAUUGAGCCUUGAUGUGUAGGAUAGGUGGGAGGCUUAGAAGUGUGGACGCCAGUCUGCAUGGAGCCGACCUUGAAAUACCACCCUUUAAUGUUUGAUGUUCUAACGUUGACCCGUAAUCCGGGUUGCGGACAGUGUCUGGUGGGUAGUUUGACUGGGGCGGUCUCCUCCUAAAGAGUAACGGAGGAGCACGAAGGUUGGCUAAUCCUGGUCGGACAUCAGGAGGUUAGUGCAAUGGCAUAAGCCAGCUUGACUGCGAGCGUGACGGCGCGAGCAGGUGCGAAAGCAGGUCAUAGUGAUCCGGUGGUUCUGAAUGGAAGGGCCAUCGCUCAACGGAUAAAAGGUACUCCGGGGAUAACAGGCUGAUACCGCCCAAGAGUUCAUAUCGACGGCGGUGUUUGGCACCUCGAUGUCGGCUCAUCACAUCCUGGGGCUGAAGUAGGUCCCAAGGGUAUGGCUGUUCGCCAUUUAAAGUGGUACGCGAGCUGGGUUUAGAACGUCGUGAGACAGUUCGGUCCCUAUCUGCCGUGGGCGCUGGAGAACUGAGGGGGGCUGCUCCUAGUACGAGAGGACCGGAGUGGACGCAUCACUGGUGUUCGGGUUGUCAUGCCAAUGGCACUGCCCGGUAGCUAAAUGCGGAAGAGAUAAGUGCUGAAAGCAUCUAAGCACGAAACUUGCCCCGAGAUGAGUUCUCCCUGACUCCUUGA